GACGAACGCUGGCGGCGUGCUUAACACAUGCAAGUCGAACGAGUGGCGGACGUGUGAGUCAUGCUUGGGAAUCUAGCUUAUGGAGGGGGCUAACUACGGGAAACUGUAGCUCAUACCGCGUCCCAUAGGAUGUGCCCAAGUGGGAUUAGGUAGUUGGUGAGGUAAAGGCUCACCAAGCCGACGAUCUCUAGCUGGUCUGAGAGGAUGACCAGCCAAAAGGGGACUGAGACACGGCACAGACUCCUACGGGAGGCAGCAGUGGGGAAGAUUGCGCAAUGGGGGCAACCUGACGCAGCCAUGCCGCGUGAAUGAAGAAGGCCUUCGGGUUGUAAAGUGCUUUCGGUAGCGAGGCGUUAACUACAGAAGAAGCACCGGCGAACUCCGUGCCAGCAGCCGCGGUAAUUC
This 405-nucleotide ribosomal RNA is filed under the name uncultured bacterium. RNAcentral's name for it is "partial 16S ribosomal RNA". It matches the Rfam family "Bacterial small subunit ribosomal RNA", at positions 28 to 526 of the family's 1533-position model. The record is from RNAcentral.